CCUACGGGAGGCAGCAGUGGGGAAUAUUGGGCAAUGGACGCAAGUCUGACCCAGCAAUGCCGCGUGAAUGAAGAAGGCCCUCGGGUUGUAAACUUCUUUUAUUCGGGACGAAAAAAAUGACGGUACCGAAUGAAUAAGCCCCGGCUAACUACGUGCCAGCAGCCGCGGUAAUACGUAGGGGGCAAGCGUUGUUCGGAUUUACUGGGUGUAAGGGGUGUGUAGGCGGGUGAGCAAGUCAGACGUGAAAUUCCUGGGCUCAACCCUGGUUCUGCGUUUGAAACUGGUAUUCUUGAGUGAAGUAGAGGAAAGCGGAAUUCCUAGUGUAGCGGUGAAAUGCGUAGAUAUAAGGAGGAACACCAGUGGCGAAGGCGGCUUUCUGGACUGUAACUGACGCUGAGGCACGAAAGUGUGGGGAGCAAACAGGAUUAGAUACCCGGGUAGUC
This 443-nucleotide ribosomal RNA is filed under the name uncultured bacterium. Its description in RNAcentral is "partial 16S ribosomal RNA". It matches the Rfam family "Bacterial small subunit ribosomal RNA", at positions 338 to 795 of the family's 1533-position model. The record is from RNAcentral.